Molecule: ribosomal RNA, 227 nt
Filed under: uncultured bacterium
Lineage: Bacteria
Description: partial 16S ribosomal RNA
Rfam family: Bacterial small subunit ribosomal RNA
Source: RNAcentral
GAUCCUGGCUCAGGAUGAACGCCAGCUACAGGCUUAACACAUGCAAGUCGAGGGGCAGCAUUUUUAUAGCAAUAUAAAAGAUGGCGACCGGCGCACGGGUGAGUAACACGUAUCCAACCUGCCGUCUACUCUUGGACAGCCUUCUGAAAGGAAGAUUAAUACAAGAUGGCAUCAUGAGUCCGCAUGUUCACAUGAUUAAAGGUAUUCCGGUAGACGAUGGGGAUGCG